AAACUAACUAGGAUUCCCUUAGUAACGGCGAGUGAACCGGGAUGAGCUCAAAUUUGAAAUCUGGCGUCUUUCAGGCGUCCGAGUUGUAAUCUAUAGAGGCGUUUUCCGCGCCGGACCGCGUCCAAGUCUCUUGGAAUAGAGUAUCAAAGAGGGUGACAAUCCCGUACUUGACGCGACAACCGGUGCUCUGUGAUACGUUCUCAACGAGUCGAGUUGUUUGGGAAUGCAGCUCUAAAUGGGUGGUAAAUUCCAUCUAAGGCUAAAUAUUGGCGAGAGACCGAUAGCGAACAAGUACCGUGAGGGAAAGAUGAAAAGCACUUUGGAAAGAGAGUUAAACAGCACGUGAAAUUGUUAAAAGGGAAACGAUUGAAGUCAGUCGUGUGAAAGGUAUUCAGCCGUCUCUGGCGGUGUAUUUGCCUUUCACGGGUCAACAUCAGUUUAGUCCGGUAGAAAAAGGCUGGAGGAAGGUGGCACCCUCGGGUGUGUUAUAGCCUCCUGUCAUAUGUGCCGGAUUAGACUGAGGAACGCAGCUUGCAGCAAUGCCGGGGUUCGCCCACGUACAAGCUUAGGAUGUUGACA
Molecule: ribosomal RNA, 579 nt
Filed under: Vishniacozyma tephrensis
Lineage: Eukaryota; Fungi; Basidiomycota; Tremellomycetes; Tremellales; Bulleribasidiaceae
Description: partial large subunit ribosomal RNA
Rfam family: Eukaryotic large subunit ribosomal RNA
Source: RNAcentral